GCCUGGGUGGCUCAGUUGGUUAAGCGACUGACUUCAGCUCAGGUCAUGAUCUCACAGUUUGUGAGUUCGAGCCCCACAUCAGGCU
RNAcentral lists this transfer RNA (85 nucleotides) under Felis catus (domestic cat). It matches the Rfam family "tRNA". Rfam says of the family: Transfer RNA (tRNA) molecules are approximately 80 nucleotides in length. Their secondary structure includes four short double-helical elements and three loops (D, anti-codon, and T loops). The record is from Rfam by way of RNAcentral. Lineage: Eukaryota; Metazoa; Chordata; Mammalia; Carnivora; Felidae.